ACUGUAAUGUCAUUAAUUUGGUGUUGCAGGGAAACAGGACUGUUACUUUGAAAAAAUUAGAGCGUUUAAAGCAGGCUAACGCUUGAAUUACAUUAGCAUGGAAUAAUGAAAUAGGACGUUCGAUCCUAUUUUGUUGGUUUCUAGGAUUGACGUAAUGAUUAAUAGGGAUAGUUGGGGGCAUUAGUUUUCAAUUGUCAGAGGUGAAAUUCUUGGAUUUAUUGAAGACUAACUACUGCGAAAGCAUUUGCCAAGGAUGUUUUCAUUAAUCAAGAACGAAAGUUAGGGGAUCGAAGACGAUCAGAUACCGUCGUAGUCUUAACCAUAAACUAUGCCGACUAGGGAUCGGAUGAUGUUAAUUUUUUAAUGACUCAUUCGGCGCCUUACG
This 385-nucleotide ribosomal RNA is filed under the name uncultured Glomeromycotina. Its description in RNAcentral is "SSU rRNA". It matches the Rfam family "Eukaryotic small subunit ribosomal RNA", at positions 710 to 1092 of the family's 1831-position model. The record is from RNAcentral. Lineage: Eukaryota; Fungi; Glomeromycota.